GAUUAACGCUAGCGGCAGGCCUAAUACAUGCAAGUCGAACGGGAUUCAAAGUAGCAAUAUUUUGUAUGAGAGUGGCGCACGGGUGAGUAACACGUAUGCAAUUUACCUUUAACUGGGGGAUAGCCCUCCGAAAGGAGGAUUAAUACCGCAUAAUAUAUUGAAAUGGCAUCAUUUUAAUAUUAAACCUACGGGGGUUAAAGAUGAGCAUGCAUCCGAUUAGCUAGUUGGUGUGGUAACGGCUCACCAAGGCAACGAUCGGUAGGGGGUCUGAGAGGAUGAUCCCCCACACUGGUACUGAGACACGGACCAGACUCCUACGGGAGGCAGCAGUAAGGAAUAUUGGACAAUGGAGGCAACUCUGAUCCAGCCAUGCCGCGUGAAGGAUUAAGGCCCUAUGGGUUGUAAACUUCUUUUAGACGGGACAAAACCCCUUUACGUGUAAAGGGUUGAUGGUACUGUCAGAAUAAGCAUCGGCUAACUUCGUGCCAGCAGCCGCGGUAAAACGUGCGUG
Molecule: ribosomal RNA, 511 nt
Filed under: uncultured bacterium
Lineage: Bacteria
Description: bacterial SSU rRNA
Rfam family: Bacterial small subunit ribosomal RNA
Source: RNAcentral